This 253-nucleotide ribosomal RNA is filed under the name uncultured bacterium. Its description in RNAcentral is "partial 16S ribosomal RNA". It matches the Rfam family "Bacterial small subunit ribosomal RNA", at positions 524 to 776 of the family's 1533-position model. The record is from RNAcentral.
GACAGAGGUGGCAAGCGUUGAUCGGAAUUACUGGGCUUAAAGGGCGAGUAGGCGGUGAGACAAGUCCGAGGUGGAAUCCUCUGGCUUAACCAGAGAACUGCCUUAGAUACUGUUUCACUUGAGUCAGUGAGGGGAGGGCGGAAUUCCCGGUGUAGCGGUGAAAUGCGUAGAUAUCGGGAGGAAGGCCAGUGGCGAAGGCGGCCCUCUGGCGCUGAACUGACGCUGAGGCGCGAAAGCGUGGGUAGCAAACAGG